GCUAACGUGACAGUGUGCGAGGCAGACGAAAUUUUUACGACAGAGUUUUCGAAAGUUUUCGAGCUUUCAGGUGUCUGUCGGACAUGUCGUGCGAGCAGAAUAGCAAUACAGAGACUGAUGACACAGAGGACACAGUAUCAAAAGAUAACGGCGAUGUAGCUCUUGAAGAACAUGUACCUCCCACAUAUGUCAAGCACAUGUUAUCAAAUGUUCUUUUUAAAGCGGCCUUGGGGGAGUAUGAACAGCAAACUCCGAGCAUCGAAACAUUGGUGCAUAACCUAGCUGUGAAAUUGUAUUUGUGGACGAUAAUAAUUGCGACGAAUUUGUUAAAACAGAAACAGGAGAGCUCGAAUUAAUUCGAUUUUGGAAAUAAAUAUUUUUAACUCUUUAA
This is a long non-coding RNA of Schistocerca gregaria, 391 nucleotides long. RefSeq lists it as uncharacterized. NCBI's taxonomy places the organism in Eukaryota, Metazoa, Arthropoda, Insecta, Orthoptera, Acrididae. The record is from RefSeq and is a predicted model, not a curated record. The transcript is spliced from 2 exons.